CAGUAGCCGCGGGAACACGGAGGGGGCUAGCGUUGUUCGGAAUUACUGGGCGUAAAGCGCACGUAGGUGGCUUGGUAAGUUAGAGGUGAAAGCCUGGAGCUCAACUCCAGAAUUGCCUUUAAGACUGCCGAGCUAGCAGGUGAGAGAGGUAAGUGGAAUUCCGAGUGUAGAGGUGAAAUUCGUAGAUAUUCGGAAGAACACCAGUGGCGAAGGCGGCUUACUGGCUCAUACUGGACGCUGAGGUGCGAAAGCGUGGGGAGCAAACAGGAUUAGAUACCCCUGUAGUCCCUGUCUCUUAUAC
RNAcentral lists this ribosomal RNA (301 nucleotides) under uncultured bacterium. Its description in RNAcentral is "partial 16S ribosomal RNA". It matches the Rfam family "Bacterial small subunit ribosomal RNA", at positions 509 to 807 of the family's 1533-position model. The record is from RNAcentral.